This 486-nucleotide ribosomal RNA is filed under the name uncultured bacterium. RNAcentral describes it as "partial 16S ribosomal RNA". It matches the Rfam family "Bacterial small subunit ribosomal RNA", at positions 30 to 507 of the family's 1533-position model. The record is from RNAcentral.
AUUGAACGCUGGCGGCAUGCCUUACACAUGCAAGUCGAACGGCAGCACGGGUGCUUGCACCUGGUGGCGAGUGGCGAACGGGUGAGUAAUACAUCGGAACAUGUCCUGUAGUGGGGGAUAGCCCGGCGAAAGCCGGAUUAAUACCGCAUACGAUCUACGGAUGAAAGCGGGGGACCUUCGGGCCUCGCGCUAUAGGGUUGGCCGAUAGCUGAUUAGCUAGUUGGUGGGGUAAAGGCCUACCAAGGCGACGAUCAGUAGCUGGUCUGAGAGGACGACCAGCCACACUGGGACUGAGACACGGCCCAGACUCCUACGGGAGGCAGCAGUGGGGAAUUUUGGACAAUGGGCGAAAGCCUGAUCCAGCAAUGCCGCGUGUGUGAAGAAGGCCUUCGGGUUGUAAAGCACUUUUGUCCGGAAAGAAAUCCUUGGCUCUAAUACAGUCGGGGGAUGACGGUACCGGAAGAAUAAGCACCGGCUAGCUACGUG